RNAcentral lists this ribosomal RNA (513 nucleotides) under uncultured bacterium. RNAcentral's name for it is "partial 16S ribosomal RNA". It matches the Rfam family "Bacterial small subunit ribosomal RNA", at positions 28 to 523 of the family's 1533-position model. The record is from RNAcentral.
GAUGAACGCUGGCGGCGUGCCUAAUACAUGCAAGUCGAACGCACAGCGAAAGGUGCUUGCACCUUUCAAGUGAGUGGCGAACGGGUGAGUAACACGUGGACAACCUGCCUCAAGGCUGGGGAUAACAUUUGGAAACAGAUGCUAAUACCGAAUAAAACUUAGUGUCGCAUGACACAAAGUUAAAAGGCGCUUUGGCGUCACCUAGAGAUGGAUCCGCGGUGCAUUAGUUAGUUGGUGGGGUAAAGGCCUACCAAGACAAUGAUGCAUAGCCGAGUUGGGAGACUGAUCGGCCACAUUGGGAAUGAGGCACGGCCCAAACUCCUACGGGAGGCUGCAGUAGGGAAUCUUCCAAAAUGGGCGAAAGCCUGAUGGAGCAACGCCGCGUGUGUGAUGAAGGCUUUCGGGUCGUAAAGCACUGUUGUAUGGGAAGAACAGCUAGAAUAGGGAAUGAUUUUAGUUUGACGGUACCAUACCAGAAAGGGACGGCUAAAUACGUGCCAGCAGCCGCCGCAG